GACGAACGCUGGCGGCGUGCCUAACACAUGCAAGUCGAACGGGACCGGGGGCAACUCCGGUUCAGUGGCGGACGGGUGCGUAACACGUGAGGAACAUGACCUUCGGCGGGGGAGUAGCCGGCCCAACGGCCGGGUAAUACCGCGUACGACCUUUCGGGGACAUCCUCGGAUGGUGAAAGCAGCAAUGCGCCGAUGGAGUGCCUCGCGGCCUAUCAGCUAGUUGGUGGGGUAAACGGCCCACCAAGGCGACGACGGGUAGCUGGUCUGAGAGGAUGGCCAGCCACAUUGGGGACUGAGACACGGCCCAGACUCCUACGGGAGGCAGCAGUC
RNAcentral lists this ribosomal RNA (330 nucleotides) under uncultured bacterium. RNAcentral's name for it is "bacterial SSU rRNA". It matches the Rfam family "Bacterial small subunit ribosomal RNA", at positions 28 to 356 of the family's 1533-position model. The record is from RNAcentral.